Cajanus cajan (pigeon pea) is the source of this 660-nucleotide non-coding RNA. The record is from RefSeq and is a predicted model, not a curated record. NCBI's taxonomy places the organism in Eukaryota, Viridiplantae, Streptophyta, Magnoliopsida, Fabales, Fabaceae.
UCUUCUCCUCACAAAGUCUCUUUCCUUUUCCAUCACUCUCACCCUUCAAUCUCUCUCUCUCUUUUCAAUCUCAGGUACGUGCGGGCAACUGGGGUGCGCGCGCAGGCGUGGCCACCGCUGGAGUGCGCGUGGCCGGCUGAAGUGCGCGCGCGGGUGCGGAGGGGUUCGGUCGGAGGGUUCUGGCGCGGGGCGGAGGGGGUUCGCGCGCGGGCUGUCGGGAUUGGUUGUCUGGAGCCGCGCGCGCGGGGCGGAGGGGUCUGGCCAGAGACACACCGCUGGCGACGCGCGACCGGCUACACGGGCCGGCGUCGGCAACCCUCCCCGGACGGACGAAGAUGAGGAUCAACUAUCUAGCUAUUGCAAGCAUGCAUAUAUACAAGCCUUAUUCGGCUUUAUAUUUUUCAGACACCAAAGCCAAUAAACAUGCUUGUCCUCUCUCCACGUCUGAAAAAAGUUUUACCAUCGUGCAUGACAUGCAAAGUCAUUAUCCAAAAAUGAAGAUUCCACACUAUGGUUUGAUCGUAUUGUAGCGUACAUUAUGCUACUAUUUAUGACAAGAUGAGUGUACCAAUAUAGUUGUACAAUACCAUCAUCAUGUGCUCAAAGAUUCUCUUUUCCUUUUUAAGUAUGUUAUCAAAGAGAGUGUAGUUUGGUGGGGAU